Molecule: ribosomal RNA, 369 nt
Filed under: uncultured phototrophic eukaryote
Lineage: Eukaryota
Description: SSU rRNA
Rfam family: Bacterial small subunit ribosomal RNA
Source: RNAcentral
UACGGGGGAUGCAAGCGUUAUCCGGAAUCAUUGGGCGUAAAGCGCCUGUAGGUUGUUUAAUAAGUCUGUUGUUAAAGACUAGGGCUCAACCCUAGAAAAGCAAUGGAAACUACUAGACUAGAGUAUGGCAGGGGUAGAGGGAAUUUUUAGUGUAGCGGUGAAAUGCGUAGAUAUUAAAAAGAACACCAGUGGCGAAAGCGCUCUACUUGACCAUUACUGACACUCAGAGGCGAAAGCUAAGGUAGCAAAAGGGAUUAGAUACCCCUGUAGUCCUAGCCGUAAACGAUGGAUACUAGAUGUUGUACUUACCGUACAGUAUCCUAGCUAACGCGUUAAGUAUCCCGCCUGGGGAGUACGCUCGCAAGGGUG